UACAGAGGGUGCGAGCGUUGUUCGGAAUUACUGGGCGUAAAGAGCGUGUAGGCGGUUUAGCAAGUCAGAUGUGAAAUCCCGGGGCCUAACUCCGGAAGUGCAUUUGAAACUGCUAGGCUCGAGUGAUGUAGAGGUUGGCGGAAUACCCAGUGUAGAGGUGAAAUUCGUAGAUAUUGGGUAGAACACCGGUGGCGAAGGCGGCCAACUGGGCAUUAACUGACGCUGAGACGCGAAAGCGUGGGUAGCAAAC
This 250-nucleotide ribosomal RNA is filed under the name uncultured bacterium. Its description in RNAcentral is "partial 16S ribosomal RNA". It matches the Rfam family "Bacterial small subunit ribosomal RNA", at positions 524 to 773 of the family's 1533-position model. The record is from RNAcentral.